UACGGAGGGAGCUAGCGUUGUUCGGAAUUAUUGGGCGUAAAGAGCUCGUAGGCGGUUUGUCGCGUCUGCUGUGAAAACUGGAGGCUCAACCUCCAGCCUGCAGUGGGUACGGGCAGACUAGAGUGCGGUAGGGGAGAUUGGAAUUCCUGGUGUAGCGGUGGAAUGCGCAGAUAUCAGGAGGAACACCGGUGGCGAAGGCGGGUCUCUGGGCCGAUACUGACGCUGAGGAGCGAAAGCGUGGGGAGCGAACAGG
Molecule: ribosomal RNA, 253 nt
Filed under: uncultured bacterium
Lineage: Bacteria
Description: partial 16S ribosomal RNA
Rfam family: Bacterial small subunit ribosomal RNA
Source: RNAcentral